UACAGAAGUUGAGCAUACAUAUUAUCAUUUUAAAGUUGAAAAUGAAUUUCUCAAGGGAGCUUUGAGAAGAUUCUCUCAGUUUUUUAUUUCACCCCUUGUAAAAUUUGAAGCAAUGGAUCGAGAGGUGCUUGCCGUGGAUUCUGAAUUUAACCAGGUUUUGCAGAAUGAUAUUUGUGGCCUUCAGCAACUCCAGUGCCAUACAUCUGAACACGGUCACUCUUUUAAUAGAUUCUUUUGGGGUGAGAUCCUUGUCAUUGUUGUUCACUUUUUGAAUGAUUUGUUUAUGUCUACUGGUAUGAAAAUGGGAAUUUUGGUUUUCUUAAAUGGUAUGAAACAAGAAGAGCCUGGUUGAUGCUGCCGAGAGAGGGUUUGAUCUACGCAAACAAAUACUAGAACUAUAUAAAGAUUAUUACCAUGGUGGACUGAUGAAGUUAGUAGUAAUUG
Molecule: long non-coding RNA, 444 nt
Organism: Hibiscus syriacus
Lineage: Eukaryota; Viridiplantae; Streptophyta; Magnoliopsida; Malvales; Malvaceae
Exons: 3
Source: RefSeq, a predicted model, not a curated record